UACGGAGGGUGCGAGCGUUAAUCGGAAUUACUGGGCGUAAAGCGUGCGUAGGUGGUUGAAUAAGUUAUCUGUGAAAUUCCUGGGCUUAACCUGGGCAGGUCAGAUGAUACUGUUUAACUCGAGUAUGGGAGAGGGUAGUGGAAUUUCCGGUGUAGCGGUGAAAUGCGUAGAGAUCGGAAGGAACACCAGUGGCGAAGGCGGCUACCUGGCCUAAUACUGACACUGAGGCACGAAAGCGUGGGGAGCAAACAGG
This 253-nucleotide ribosomal RNA is filed under the name uncultured bacterium. Its description in RNAcentral is "partial 16S ribosomal RNA". It matches the Rfam family "Bacterial small subunit ribosomal RNA", at positions 524 to 776 of the family's 1533-position model. The record is from RNAcentral.